This 494-nucleotide ribosomal RNA is filed under the name uncultured Flavobacterium sp. RNAcentral's name for it is "bacterial SSU rRNA". It matches the Rfam family "Bacterial small subunit ribosomal RNA", at positions 9 to 524 of the family's 1533-position model. The record is from RNAcentral. Lineage: Bacteria; Pseudomonadati; Bacteroidota; Flavobacteriia; Flavobacteriales; Flavobacteriaceae.
GAGUUUGAUCGUGGCUCAGGAUGAACGCUAGCGGCAGGCUUAACACAUGCAAGUCGAGGGGUAUAGGUUUUCGGACCUAGAGACCGGCGCACGGGUGCGUAACGCGUAUGCAAUCUACCUUUUACAGAGGGAUAGCCCAGAGAAAUUUGGAUUAAUACCUCAUAGUAUUAUUGAAUGGCAUCAUUUAAUAAUUAAAGUUCCAACGGUAAAAGAUGAGCAUGCGUCCCAUUAGCUAGAUGGUAAGGUAACGGCUUACCAUGGCGACGAUGGGUAGGGGUCCUGAGAGGGAGAUCCCCCACACUGGUACUGAGACACGGACCAGACUCCUACGGGAAGCAGCAGUGAGGAAUAUUGGUCAAUGGGCGCAAGCCUGAUCCAGCCAUGCCGCGUGGAUGAUGAAGGCCCUAGGGUUGUAAAGUCCUUUCGACGGGGAAGAUAAUGACGGUACCCGUAGAAGAAGCCCCGGCUAACUUCGUGCCAGCCGCCGCCGUAAG